AAGCUAAGCUGACACAACCGACUUUGGUCACUAGACACACUCUCUCACCUGCACACCCAUGUGGGGACUUCAGGAAGCUGCAGAAAAGUCAUGUGCAUCCAGGGACGCGCCGGGUGCGUCUCCGCCCUGCAGCAGCCGCCAGAUGCAAUCAUUCACCGGCAAUCAGCGCACCUGCCUGUGAUGAGCGAGCUGCCUUCUUAAGCCUGCUCAACCUGCCAUCCCGCGCCGGAAUAUAAUCUUCUGUUGGCGUACAUACCCUCCGUCAUCUUGAGAGUGAGCUGUGCGUCUCAAUUUUCCCUGGAUCUCCUUCUGGACUCUGACUGCCUCCCUCGAUCCUUGACUUCCCCCACUUCGGACUCGGACCUGUAGACUUCUCUCUCCCAUGGACUUCCUCGUCUCUCGUUCAACAUUUACGGUAACACAUAACAGCUAAUCUACACACAUAGUCUUACACCAUACACACUCGUGGAUUUUGUCACACUCCAUUUCCUUAGUUAGUAUAUUUAGUAUUGUUUGAUUAUAUAUAUAUACACUACCGUUCAAAAGUUUGGGGUCACAUUGAAAUGUCCUUAUUUUUGAAGGAAAAGCACUGUACUUUUCAAUGAAGAUAACUUUAAACUUGUCUUAACUUUAAAGAAAUACACUCUAUACAUUGCUAAUGUGGUAAAUGACUAUUGUAGCUGCAAAUGUCUGGUUUUUGGUGCAAUAUCUACAUAGGUGUAUAGAGGCCCAUUUUGGAGAUUUGCUCCAUAAUUGAUGACACACACAAUGUAGUUGCUUUUAAAAGUGCAUUGUGGUUUGUGAUUCUAAGAAAAAAAGAUAACUAAGAAAUACAUAACCUGACAAUGUGAUUAUUGUUACCCAUUGCAAUUAUAUGUGUGACAAAGAAAAGAGGCAAUAAAUACUAACCUUUGUAUUCAGUUCAAUAACGCAGCAAACAUUUAAGAAAUAAAUGCCAGUUUAACAAAGUAAAACAAAAUACAGGAAAUAAUUUUUUUUUUAAAUACCUGGUAAAAAAAACAAGAAACAACAAGCAGUCUUUAGGUAAAUAAAGCAUGAUGACUAACCAAGG
Molecule: long non-coding RNA, 1072 nt
Organism: Entelurus aequoreus (snake pipefish)
Lineage: Eukaryota; Metazoa; Chordata; Actinopteri; Syngnathiformes; Syngnathidae
Exons: 3
Source: RefSeq, a predicted model, not a curated record